AAUAUAUGUCGCCGUUGACUUUUAACCGCAUGUUUGACCAUUCGUCUUAUUCAAAAAAUUUAUGUAAAUAUUAUUUAUUUUGUUAUGAAUUGAUUUAUUACUAUAUAUAUUUUAAACAUGACUUGCAUUUUUAUAUAUUUGCAUAAUUUUUUUAAUAAGACGAAUGGUCAAACAUGUGAUAAAAAGUCAACGGCGACAUAUAUU
RNAcentral lists this microRNA precursor (204 nucleotides) under Leersia perrieri. RNAcentral's name for it is "MIR812 microRNA precursor family". It matches the Rfam family "MIR812 microRNA precursor family". The record is from Rfam by way of RNAcentral. Lineage: Eukaryota; Viridiplantae; Streptophyta; Magnoliopsida; Poales; Poaceae.